Molecule: transfer RNA, 72 nt
Filed under: Oreoglanis macroptera
Lineage: Eukaryota; Metazoa; Chordata; Actinopteri; Siluriformes; Sisoridae
Description: tRNA-Lys
Rfam family: tRNA
About the family: Transfer RNA (tRNA) molecules are approximately 80 nucleotides in length. Their secondary structure includes four short double-helical elements and three loops (D, anti-codon, and T loops). Further hydrogen bonds mediate the characteristic L-shaped molecular structure. tRNAs have two regions of fundamental functional importance: the anti-codon, which is responsible for specific mRNA codon recognition, and the 3' end, to which the tRNAs corresponding amino acid is attached (by aminoacyl-tRNA synthetases). tRNAs cope with the degeneracy of the genetic code in two manners: having more than one tRNA (with a specific anti-codon) for a particular amino acid; and 'wobble' base-pairing, i.e. permitting non-standard base-pairing at the 3rd anti-codon position.
Source: RNAcentral
CACUAGAAAGCUAAGUGGACAAGCAUUAGCCUUUUAAGCUAAAGAUUGGUGGCCCCAACCCACCUCUAGUGA